GCGGGAGGGCAGGGUUGGUUGCGCUGGAAGGGACGGGGCAUCGGACCCGCGCACACACACACGCCCCGCAAACUCGGACCCGCUCACACACCCAGGCCCUGAUCCCCCCGCCCGCCCGCCAUGAAGCUGAUGGUGGAUUUCGAGGAGUGUCUGAAGGACUCGCCGCGCUUCAGAGCUGCAAUAGAGGAAGUUGAAGGAGAUUUUGCUGAAUUGGAGUUAAAACUUGAAAAGGUUGUCAAGUUGUGCAUUGGGAUGAUCGAUGCUGGAAAGAACUUCUGUAAUGCCAACAAACAGUUUGUCAAUGGAAUUCGUGAGUUGGCCCAACACUCCACCAAGGACGAAGUCAUUGAGAACAGUCUAAUGAGGUUUUCGGAUAGCCUUCAGGAGAUGGUUAAUUUUCACACAAUUCUGUUUGACCAAGUCCAAAGAUCCAUCAAGUUGCAACUUCAGUCAUUUGUGAAAGAUGAUCUCAGAAAAUUUAAAGAAGCGAAGAAACAGUUUGACAAGGUCAGUGAAGAGAAGGAGAAUGCACUGGUGAAAAAUGCUCAGAUUCAAAGAAAUAAGCAGCAUGAGGUGGAGGAGGCGACCAACAUUCUGACAGCCACACGGAAAUGCUUCCGGCACAUCGCGCUGGACUAUGUGCUGCAGAUUAAUGUCCUUCAGUCAAAGAGGCGAUCGGAGAUUUUAAAAUCGAUGUUGUCGUUCAUGUAUGCCCAUCUUGCAUUCUUUCACCAAGGAUAUGACCUCUUCAUGGAACUGGAGCCUUACAUGAAGGACUUGGGAGCACAGCUGGAUAAAUUAGCCGUGGAUGCAGCUAAAGAGAAGAGAGACAUGGAACAUAAACACUCCACUAUUCAACAAAAGGAUUUCUCCAGCGAUGAUCCCAAGAUGGAAUUUAAUACGGAUGCUGCCAAUGGCAUUGUCAUGGAAGGAUAUUUAUAUAAACGUGCCAGUAAUGCCUUCAAAACAUGGAACCGGAAAAAGACCCCCCACAUCAGGCGCUGGUUUUCAAUUCAGAACAACCAGCUUGUUUACCAAAAGAAGUUCAAGGAUAACCUGACUGUAGUAGUUGAUGAUUUACGACUUUGUACAGUCAAGCCAUGUGAGGAUAUUGAGAGACGUUUCUGCUUUGAAGUCGUCUCACCUACAAAGAGCUGUAUGUUGCAAGCAGAUUCUGAAAAAAUCCGGCAAGUUUGGAUCAAAGCUGUUCAAGCCAGUAUAGCGACAGCAUACAAGGAGAAGGGAGAGGAAAGCCAUGCGGAUAAGUUGGACAGAAGGUCGUCCCCAUCAACCAGCAGUCUGGACUCGGGGAGUGAAUUGAAGGAGCGCCCAGUGAAAGGCGAAAGUGCACUUCAGCGCGUCGAGUGUAUUGCUGGCAACAGCAAUUGCUGCGACUGUGGCCAGUCGGACCCUCGCUGGGCUAGCAUCAAUCUGGGAAUCACCCUGUGCAUCGAAUGUUCAGGCAUUCACAGAAGUCUGGGUGUCCAUUUUUCCAAGGUGCGUUCCCUGACUCUGGAUUCGUGGGAACCUGAGCUCUUAAAACUUAUGUGUGCAUUAGGAAAUAACGUUAUCAACAGAAUCUAUGAGGCACAGGUGGAUGAGAUAUACUUCAAGAAACCAAAUCCAGGAGACCCGAGGCCUGAGAAGGAAAGUUGGAUCAAAGCUAAGUAUGUUGAAAAGAAGUUUAUUCAGAAAGCUCAUACUUUAACUUCAUCAAAAAGAAGACAGAAUGUGUCAGUGCGGACCAGUCAACAGGAGGAUACCUGUGAAAAAUCCUCCAACCUUCUUUCUGUUCCAGGGAACACUUCAGGGGUAAAAAAUUCAGACAAUGGAGUUCUGAAUAACUCUGAUGGGAACAAAGAUGUGGUGAUGCCUGUGACCUCCAAUAACAAUGUACCAGCGAAAGCUUCGGAACAGUUUCUGGGAGAAGGAGUGGGAAAGGAUUUGUGCGCUUCGCAUGAAGUGAAAGCGAUGCCUAUAGGAUUACAGCUAUACACCGCUGCUCACCGUCGAAGCCUGCCUGACAUGGCAGAGGCAUUGGCCUGUGGUGCUGAUGUGAACUGGGCUCAUCCUGACGACAACAAGGCCACUCCUCUCAUUCAGGCUGUGCUGGGGGGUUCUUUGGUUGCCUGUGAGUUUCUGCUGCAGAAUGGAGCGGAUGUAAACCGCAGGGACAGCCACGGCAGAGGCCCACUGCAUCAUGCGACCAUCUUGGGCCACACCGGACAAGUGUGUUUAUUUCUGAAACGAGGAGCUGAUCAAGAUGCACGGGACGGAGACCAGAAAGACCCACUCAGCAUCGCUGUGGAAGCUGCCAAUGCAGACAUCGUCACACUGUUGCGCCUGGCCAAGAUGAAUGAUGAGAUGCGAGAAUCUGAGGGCAUCGGGCAGUCAGGUCAUUAUUCCAGUAACAGUCACACCGAGAUGCAAUAUAAAAAGUGCAUACAGGAAUUUAUUAGCUUGCAGCUGGAGGAUUCUUGAAUCGUAUGAUGUGGAUUCGUAUGAUGUGGAUUUUAAAUGGUUAUAUAGACGUCAGUUGUCUGGACGGGGGGGGGAAGGUUGGUGGCCAUGUGAUUUGACAGGUGAUUUGGCGAUCAAAGGACCAAUGCUUUGACCAGCUCAAUCUCAAAUGGAGAAUCUUUUAAUCAGGAAGAAUGUGCACGCCAACAUGAUUUGGCUAAUCUAAAUCAUGCACCUCACAAGUUUCAACCAGUAUUUGCAAAGUGAUAUUUUCCGGAAUAGUUCCUGAUGAUAUUUUCAUUGCUCAUUAAAUUUUUAAUAAUAGUUUUGAAAAUAUGAGAGCCUAUAAUUGCCUUGAGUCAUGAGUUUGUUUUGAAACGGUGAAAGUAGGAGGUUGCAGGAGAGGGGUUGUGUGCCUGGUUCCCGGGGUACAUCUGACUAGUCUCGCUCUCACAGCCCCACUCAGUGAUACAAACCUCUGCUGCCGAGGAAUAGGCCUGGCAGCCCCCUCACCCUGCCCACACCCCCCUUCUGACGUAAACCAAUGCAAAGGCAAUCAACUCCAAUCACAACACUCUAAAGGCACUUGGAUAGAUACAUGGAUAGGAAAGGUUUAGAGGGAAAUGAACCACAUGCGGGCAAAUGGGACCAUCAUAGGUGGGACAUCUUGGUUAGCAUGACCGUUGGGCCGAAGGGCCUGUUUCCAUGCUAUAUGACUAUGAUACUACAACGGGGUUGUCUAGUCGCCAGUUCUGGUCCUGUUGUUGAUUGAUAUCCAUCCCCUUGCACUUUGCAAAAGUAAAUCACUGGAGAACAAACCAGGGGCUGGAAUUAUGACUGACUUUUCUUUUUUAGUCCAUAGACUAGAAUACAGUACACCCCCUAAAAUUAACCUUUUGUCCUCAUUAGUCCAUUUGGCCAUUCUUAGCUGCAUCAGUUCCUCGUGAUUUUAUUUUUUACUUUUUGUACUUUAGCACAACUUGCUUCCUUGAUUGGAAAAGGUUAUCAAUGUUUAUUUGCAUCAGUAUAAAAGACUGCGUUGAUCCUGUUGCUGGGAGACUGUGCUGCAGCACGUGCUCACCAGCUCCACAGCCUUCAGUCAGCAAUGGUCAUCAUGUCAACAGAGCAGAAUUAGGCCAUUCGGCCCAUUGAGUCUACUCCGCCAUUCAAUCAUGGCUGAUCUAUCUCUCCCUCUCAACCCCAUUCUCCUGCCUUCUCCCCAUAAUCCCUGACACCCGCACUGAUCAAGAAUCUAUCUAUCUCUGCCUUAAAAAAAUACCCAAUGACUUUGCCUCCACAGCCGUCAGUGGCAAAGAAUUCCGCAGAUUCACUACUCUCCAAAGAAAUUCCUCCUCAUCUCCUUCCUAAAGGAAGGCCCUCUAAUUCUGAGGCUGUGCCCUCUGGUCCUAGACUCUCCCACUAGUGGAAACAUCCUCUCCACAUCCACUCUAUGCAGGCCUUUCACUAUUCGUUAAGUUUCAAAGACCCGCCUCAUCCUGGUCAACAGUCCCUUCCACUGUUGGGCAGAAGUCACAACUCACUGUUGGCUGUUCAUGGUCAGUCACACUGCCACAACACGCACACUCAAACAUACAACUGCACUGGGCCGCAAAGUUUAGACAGCUAAAUUAUUCCAGUGCACAGAGAAAAAAUUAACAUAAGAAAUGUUUAAUUUUAACAUUUCUUUCAAAUGCAAUGCAAGUGGAAUAUAUGGUAAUUUUUCCUGUUACUUUUAAUAUUGCUGAGAAAGACAAUAAGAUACAAAUAUUCUUGCUGUUGUAUCUUGAUGGUUUUAGUGUGUGGAGUUUUUUGUUAAUUCAGUGUGAAAAUAUUCUUUCUCCAAAUGUCAAGCUUUUAUAAACACAUUUCACUUUGUGCAGGUAGUUUAAUUUGGAUUUCUGUUGGUCAAUAGACAAUAGGUGCAGGAGUAGGCCAUUCGGCCCUUCGAGCCAGCACCGCCAUUCAAUGUGAUCAUGGCUGAUCAUCCCCAAUCAGUUCCUGCCUUCUCCCCAUAUCCCCUGACUCCGCUAUUUUUAAGAGCCCCAUCUAGCUCUCCCUUGAAAGCAUCCAGAGAACCUGCCUCCACUGCCCUCUGAGGCAGAGAAUUCCACAGACUCACCACUCUGUGAGAAAAAGUGCUUCCUCGUCUCCGUUCUAAAUGGCUUACUCCUUAUUCUUAAACUGUGGCCCCUGGUUCUGGACUCCCCCAACAUCGGGAACAUGUUUCCUGCCUCUAGCAUGUCCAAACCCUUAACAAUCUUAUAUGUUUCAAUGAGAUACCCUCUCAUCCUUAUAAACUCCAGAGCGUACAAGCCCAGCUGCUCCAUUCUCUCAGCAUAGGAUAGUCACACCAUCCUGGGAAUUAACCUUGUAAACCAAUGCUGCACUCCCUCAAUAGCAAGAGUGUCCUUCCUCAUAUUAGGGGACCAAAACUGCACACAAUACUCCAGGUGUGGUCUCUUUAAUAUUUACACUUUUAAUUAGAAAUGAAUAAGGCACAAGAGUGACAUUUUAAGUUUUUAAUACUUCAAGAGCAGGGAAUAUAAUAAUGUGUGGUGUAGUGUUCGUGUUGCUGGGUGGGUGAUGUGGGAUGAAGGGCCUGCCCUUGUGCUGGAUCUCUUCAUUACUCUAUGAUUAUUGCAUAAAUAUAAAAAUGUGAUGAAAUGUUAGAAAACAUUGCAUUGGCAGUUAUGAUUUCAUAUAUUCAAUGUAUGGCUGAUAAUCAUAACUUGAUUAUGAUACUUGCUCAGUGAUUUAUAAAGACCAAAAGUAAAAGAAACCGCAGGAUAAAUGAUGAUGUUAAAAGCCAAAGCCAUAUAGACCACAUCCUGCACCAACCUUGUAGUUCGGUUUGAAUUGUACAUCAUAAGAGCCAAAUUGGUGCUAGCAAAUGUAUCCGUUUCAUUUCAUUACUUUAUUAUUGGUCUAUAUUUGCAAGUAUACUUUUGAAUGUAUAUGUGUGCCUUUUUGUGUUCUCAAUCUGGGAUUGCAAUGAGAUAUUUUUGUAUAUACCUUGUAUGAACUGUCGUGCACUUUAAAUGUAGCAUUGCGAUAAAAGAAAUGCAGUUGCUAAUGUCAAGGUCGACUUGAAUGAACAUUCCAAUGUUGAAGCAAGUUUAGCAGUUAAAAUACCUGAUGUAUCUCCUGAGUUCAUAAUUUAAACCCUUGUGUUUCCAACAAUAUUUGGGGAAAUAAAUUGUAGCCUGAAUCCUCUUGCUCAAAGUUCCCAUAGGAUAGUUUUAGUCCAGAUUUAAAGUCUGAAAACGGUGCUGAUCUGAAUGGCAUUGGGCUCCAUCGAUACAUAGACAAUAGGUGCAGGAGGAGUCCAUUUGGCCCUUCCAGCCAGCACCGCCAUUCAAUGUGAUCAUGGCUGAUCAUCCACAAUCAGUGCCCCGUUCCUGCCUUUCCAUAUCCCUUGAUUCCAUUAGCCUUAAGAGCUAAAUCUAACUCUCUCUUGAAUGUAUUUGGUGAAUUAGCCUCCACUGCCUUCUGAGGCAGAGAAUUCCACAAAUUCACAACUCUGUGUGAAAAGGUUUUUCAUCAUCUCAGUUCUAAAUGGCCUACCCCUUAUUCUUAAACUGUGGACGCUGGUUCUUGUCAUCCUUCUAAAUUCCAGUGACUGCAAGCCCAGUCGUCCAUUCUUUCAUCAUAUGACAGUCCUGCCAUCCCAGGAAUUAACCUCAUGAACCUACGCUGCUCUGCUUCAAUAGCAAUAAUGUCCUCCCUCAAAUUGGGAGACCAAACCUGCACACAAUACUCCAGGUGUGGUCUCACCAGGGCCCUGCACAACUGCAGAAGUCCUAUACUUAAUUCCUCUCGUUAUGAUGGCCGACAUGCCAUUAGCUUUCUUCACUGCCUGCUGUAGCUGCAUGCUUACUUUCAGUGACUGAUGUACAAGGACACCCAGGUCUCAUCGUACUUCCCCCUUUCCUAACUUGACACCAUUCAUAUAAUAAUCUGCCUUCCUGUUCUUGCCACCAAAGUGGAUAACCUCACAUUUAUCCACAUUAAACUGCAUCUGCCAUGCAUCUGCCCUCUCACCCAACCUGUCCAAGGCACCCUGCAUCCUCAUAGCAUCCUCUUCACAGUUCAUACAGCCACCCAGCUUUGUGUCAUCUGCAAAUUUGCUAAUGUUACUUUUAACACCUUCAUCUAAAUCAUUCAUGUAUAUUGUAAAUAGCUGCGGUCCCAGCACCAAGCCUUGCGGUACUCCACUAUUCACUGCCUGCCAUUCUGAAAGGGACCUGUUAAUCCCUACUCUUUGUUUCCUGUCUGCCAAACAAUUUUCCAUCCAUGUCAGCACUCUAUCCCCAAUACCAUGUGCUCUAAUUUUGCCCACUAAUCUCCUGUAUCAAAGGCUUUCUGAAAGUCCAGGUACACUACAUCCACUGGCUCUCCCUUGUUCAUUUUACUUGUUACAUCCUCAAAAAAUCCCAGAAGAUUAGUCAAGCAUGAUUUUCCCUUCGUAAAUCCAUACUGACUCGGACCCAUCCUGUUACUGCUAUCCAAAUGCGGCGCAAUUUCAUUUUUAAUAAUGGCAUAUCUCAGACAUUCUGCACAAUGCUAUUGUUAAUUUCAAUCGGGCACCAGCUGACUGUGGAGAAUCCAUUCAACCUGUUGCAGAAGACCCAAUAAUUACUGGAAUCUUUAGUUUGUGUGUUCACGUAAUCUACCUAGACUGCUCUUAUCCAUCCAGUUUUGAUUUUCAAACUGAUUCUCAAAAUAUAAACUUUGGCCUUGUUUACUUCUUGAAUGAUUAUUCUAACUUAGCCUGUUAUCUUUGUGGACUUGUUCAACUGCAUAACAUGAUCAGUAUUUUCUUUCAGUGUCUACCUUUUAACUUCUUAAUAUGGAGCUGUGAUCUUCAAAGUGUAAUAUAAAGUAGCCACAUGAUAGCUGCACAAUUUUAUUCUUACAAAUCUUGACAUAUGAUCAAAUCUGCUUCUUGUCAAUUGCAUCUUUAAGCCAUAGGUUCAAAUGAAGGAAAGUGUGCUUAUGUUCAAACUUGUAGGUAAUAUUGGAUUACAUCUAAAUUCUUGAUUUAUAAUGUGCUAACAAUUGUGACUUUGCUUCUGCUUGAGUUAAAUAUUGAUCUAAAUGUAUAUAAAUGAUUUGCAGAGCUGUAUAUUCAUGCAAAAGCAGAACUCCAAAAUUAUCUCAACUUAGUGGGUGCUGGUGACAUAACGUGUGGAAAGAACUGCAGAAGCUGGUUUAAAUCGAAGGUAAACACGAAAUGUGGAGUAACUCAACGGGGACAGGCAGCAUCUCUGGAGAGAAGGAAUGGGUGACGUUUCGAGUCGAGACCCUUCUUCAGACUGAAACGUCACCCAUUCCUCCUCUCCAGAGAUGUUGCCUUACCUGCUGUUACUCCAGCAUUUUGUGUCUACCUGGUGACAUAACUCUGGUUAAAAGCAGGACCCAAUUUACUCAUCCAUGUUGGCACCCAUAUUUGUUGAAUUUUUUAACAUAUAAUAUUUAAGAUAAAUUAAUCUCCAUCAAUUGGGAAAGUUACUUGUAGGAAAAAAAUUAAAUUAAGCCAAUAACACUACAAUUUUAAUGUUUACUAGACUAAGUGGGACCCGUUGGGCCCCGUUCCCCCAACGCAAUAUUCCACCACUCACCCGUUCCCCCAACACAAUAUUCCACCACUCACCCAUAGCCCCCAACUGCACAGGCGCGGCUCAUUUACCCUCAUCGCCCAACACGCCUUCCCCCUCCCCUUGUUCUAUCCCCUCUCCUCCUCCACUCCCUCCCUCGCCUUUCCCUUCUUUCCCCUACCCUCAGUCACUCCCUCCCUCCAUAACCCCUCUCGCCUCCCAACCCUGGUCCUCUCCCCCUAUCUCCCUAUCUUUACAACAAUGUAAUAAAUCUCUCAUUGCACUGCGUGGGGGUUUAUGUAAAUGAGAUCCAUAGUAACGUCAUAGCUGCUAACUGCCAGUGCAGAUGGAAGAAAUAAUGCAAAGUGGGAUUUUGUAGUUAAAACGUGAAUAACUUGUAAAAUGUAACAUCAAUCUGAACAAAGCUUGAUACACCACACACAGACAAUGGUGAGUAAGGUGGGCCUAAAAUUGUAGUGCUAUCGUGUACCGUUUUGACGUAAUUCAGAUCAUAACAAUGCACGUAAACACACAGAGAGACACACGGACAGACAGACUCACAAACAAACAAGAUGAGAGUUUUAGUAAUAUACUAGACUAAGUGGGACCCAUUGGGUCCCAGCUUCACAUGGGAGGGCUGUUCCCCCAACGCAAUAUUCCACCUCUCCACCAAUUCCAAUAUUGCUGGCCAGUGGGGGAGGCGGGGGGGGCUUUCUGGAGUGCUAGCAUGGUGUUGUGAGCCGAAUGGACUGGUUUCCAGAGGGCUAAUAUGGACAUCGUGGGCUGAAUGGAUUCUUGGGCUGGCAGCUCAGUCACUGAGACCACUCUCACUAACACACACACACACACACACACACACACACACACACACACACACACACACACACACACACACACACACACACACACACUCUCACACUCUCACACUCUCACACUCUCACACUCUCACACUCUCACACUCUCACACACUCAAACACACACACACACACACCAUAUAUAUGGCAGGAAACUUUCUUGACUACUCAUACGGCUGAGUGUGGCCUCUCCACUUUGGGACUUCUGAAAUCAGCGUGACCUCUGCACUUACUGGAAAUUACGCAAUCAGCGCAACCUGUCCACUAAGCGGAAGUCACAAAAUGAGCUUUUGAACCAAACACAGUCGUACCUAAUAAAGCAUUUAUUCCUUCCAAACACAGUCGGACCUAAUAAAGCAUUGCAGUUUCAAGCACAGGCAUGGCAGCAGGCCAAACAACUCAUGGCAUUGUCAUUAAGGGCUAACAAAUCAUUUAUUGCCAGUACUUUGCAGACUCACAGUUCAGCUGAUUCACAGCUUAGAAUGAGAGUCGUGGCCUCUCCCUCGUGUUCUUGCAGAAUGACUGAGUCACGUCCAGGCAUCCGGGGUUUUAUAGUCCUGCCCCCCUGGAAGGGGCGUUACCUUCAUCGUGGUGAUUGACAGGCGAGAGGAUCUCUAGGUUUUUUAAACACUCAUAACUUUUUUAUUUUUCAUUGAUGGGAAAAAUUCUCGGGGGCCUGCUCAGUGGAGGAUGACUGUGAGUAAGAUGGCCAAAAAUCAUAGUGAUGUAUGGCAGCGAUCUUUCUAAAAUCAAUAUACAGCGCAGACAGGAAGUGGUCAAGAUGAGACUUUUAAUUAGAUAGAUAUAUAGAUAGAUGUUUGUAUGGGAGAAUUAACAAACACUGAAGCGAUUGGCCUAACUUAAACCCUUCACUCCUGCAUUUCUGUACACUGCAGUUGCUCCUCAGUCCUUUACGCAUAGGAUUGAUCUUUCUGAACCUAGUUCAAUUUGCACGUGUGCAGUGUUGAAAUUCCAAAGGAAUUGUUUUUGAAAUCUGUGGCAUAGCAUUAUAAUUAGUUUAGUACAUUAGGAACAUGAGAUUUGUUGAACAUGUGAUACCAGUUUGAAAAUGGUAAAUGAAUCUUGGUUGACAAUGUAAUGAGCUGUAUCUCAUACAAUAUGCAUGAGGGCUGAAAUAUCAGCUUGGGGUUUGUCUGAAACAUUCAUUUGUGGGAUCCUAUUUAAACACUUUGGCCAGUUCUUCUUUUCAUCCUUGACUGUUUCCUAACAUAAGGACACUGUAUGAUUGAGGGGUCAAGCAAAGAAGUGUUGACAGAUCUCUUGAAGAUCUUGAAAAGAUGAUCCUGGGUGCAGUAUACAUUCACAUCCUGAGGAGUUUAUUGGAUUUUAGUUUUACUGAACUGUUCUCUAUUUGCUUCUUGCCCAUAGCGUGUUAGUGUUCCAUACUAUUUGCUUCUUGCCCAUAGUGUUAGUUUCUACUUCUUCUUCUUGCAUAUGGUGUGCACAGCCCAAAGUUGUAGGACAACUUGUUUCUAUUUUACCUUAUUUGAUUGUGCACGCCAGGUUGAUUGCAUUCGUUGAAACAGGGUGGACCACGAGAAGGUUGCAAUCUUCCACCCCAGAGUUAGUUCGAGGCACACUGCUGAUUAAGUAUGUUAAGCAUGUUGCAGGUGGAAUGCCAUGAGAAACGUUGGCCCUCAGUUCUCUGCAAUCUGUAUUUUAAUGUAACAUUGAAUACAUAUUUAAAUGUGGAAAAAUUAGUAAAUGUUGGUGCACAAAAGGAAAGGAGGAAAGAGAAAAUGGAUGAAAUGGAUUGUCUGCCCUGGAUUAUUAAGUGUUAAGUACUGUUGCAUUGUAGAUUUAACGGUUGUAGAUUUGGGGAAAUGUACCAACAUGAACACAUGAAGUGGUGAGGUGAAGCUUUGAUGCUCUGCCACUACAUUGGUCCUGCCAGUGGGCACUGUUCAGGCUAGGUUGCUGCUUUCUGCACAGACACGUGAAUGGGUCUGUAUUUAGAGGUAAAGCAAGAGGGAAAAUAAUCUUCUCAAAAUGAAAAUGAAGAUAUUGAGAUAAUAAUCUGGAAAUGUUGCAGGUGAAGGUGUCCUAUUAUAAUGUCUCCUGAUUCUUGCACUCUUCCUUUGAUGUUGCUGCUGUGAGAUUCAUGCAGGUGAUGCAACCUACCAGGAUAUUUUCAGAGACUUUUCCCAUAUGGCCUCUCAUAACCCCGAAAGAUUAAACCGUUUCCAGCGGAGAUCAGAGGCUGAUUAACCUUUUACUGCAUUUCUUGAGAGAACUGCAGUCAUUCUUUUGAUGCAAUCGUAUGGAAGCAUAUUUAUCAAUACAAUAUAUAUAUAUAUACACACCAAAAAUGAAUGUUAACGUUUUAAAGAGCUGUAAAUGAAGGAACCUUGGCCUAUAUAUUUCCACACAGCUAGUUUUAUUCGGAUGUUGCUGUCUAUGCAAACAUGCCACCUAUGUGCUGUUGAUUUUGUCAAACUUGAGUUAAAGUUAAUAAUCUUUUGUGAUGUUCCACCACUGGGAAACGUGCAAAUGGAAUGGAAGUUCAAGUGAAUUGAAGUCUUGUAUGUGAAAAAAAUGUUCGGACAAAAAUAUUUCCAAAAGUAUACGUCCAUCAUUCUCCAUCCAUGAAGCGGAGUGGUGAGAAAAUCAUGACCGCAGCAAGAGCACUUCCAUCCCUAUGUCUUUUAAAAGCACUGUGGGUGCUGCAAUGGUGGAGCUGUGAUGCUGCAGUGGUGGGUGUUGCAGCGGUGGAGCCGUGGGUGCUGCAGUGGUGGAGCUGCGAUGCUGCAGUGAUGGAGUUGCGAUGCUGCAGUGGUGGUGCUGCAGCGCUGGAGCUGUGGUGCAGUGAGACAAUGAACCAGUGCCCAGGGAACAUAUUACAUUUGUUUCCUCUUACAAAAUAGAAAAUGCUUUUAAUCUACAAUUUCAACAAAUAUUUUAUCAUACUUGUUAUACUUUGUAUAUUCUUUCCACCUACGAAAUGUUGGGUUUUUAUAUCUUUGAACUGCAUUACCUAUAACCCACACUUGGUGCAAUAUAUCGAGACUUUCAGGUCAACCCUCUACAUACCCUGCAACAUUAUUUUACAUCCCAACAUGAAAUCCAGUUGGUGAGAUAAAUUAAAGUAGGAAAUUAAAUGAGGAGAUUAGAAUUAAUUUAUACAUUUAGCAUUAUAUCAUCAUCAUCACCACACUAUCCUAUUUUACAUUUUGUGUUAUUCAAAUACAAAUGGCAAGCAAGUCAGUUGUCUAAGUUGAAACACGAUCUGUACCACCACUCACAAGAUGAAGCAAGUGUUACUGACUUCUUUGCCAGUGUUCAGAACAUCUUCAGUACAUGGGCAUUCAAAUUCAAAUAAAUCUAUAUUCUUAACAGAUUUUAUUUACCAACACUUAAAUUAGAUGGUGGCAACUUUAAAAAUCAACAUUGCAUCAAAGAUCAACCAGGUUAAUUCCAUAUCCUUAAGCAACAAAAAACAAAUCAAAGUUACAGAUUUUUCAAAUGUCAACAGCAUUUAUGCUGCAUUACAUUUUUAAACCUUAUAUGUCCAAUGUAUUUUGCUCUUGAACUUGUGUAAAUAUAUACCAAUAUAUGUCUGUGCCCAGGGAUUGAUAAAAUACUUUUUCUGUUUUGCUUUAGCUGUGGGUUUUGAGUUAGUACAUUUGUACAAAAGAGUUUAAAUAUAUCAGUAAAAGGUUAAUGAGAAUGUAAUGACAACUUAUGAAGUAUACCAUAAGCUCCAAAGCAGUUGAGCAGUUAUAGUCUUAUAUUUCAGUUUCAAAUGUGAUUUGUCCUUUGAGAGGCUGAAGCAUCGGCAAUUUUAGACCAGUAAUCAGUACUGUACGUACUUGAUGGAUCCAUUUGCCUCCACAAACAAAUAUACCCCCAGAAGUUUGAAAAUGUAUUCGAUCUAUUUAUCAUCCUUAUGUAAUUGCAUAUAUUGUAUAAACCUUUCUGUAUGGAAUAUUUUAUUCACAUUAUAGAACUGUUGUAUAAAAGUUCCCUGGAAACUUGUAUGAGUUUACAUUCCAUGAACAAAAAUUAAAUAUGCAUUAGGUUUUCAAAACUG
This is an RNA transcript of Leucoraja erinaceus (little skate), 12962 nucleotides long. It is a transcript of the gene named arf-GAP with coiled-coil, ANK repeat and PH domain-containing protein 2-like, with no coding region annotated. The record is from RefSeq and is a predicted model, not a curated record. The transcript has 24 exons. NCBI's taxonomy places the organism in Eukaryota, Metazoa, Chordata, Chondrichthyes, Rajiformes, Rajidae.